GACGAGCAGUGUGUCGCUCGCUAUUAGAGUGGACGCACGUUCCGAAUUAUAAAAAUUAAAACCCCGAAUUAUAAAAAUUAAAACCUUUAAAGUGAACUCAAAUUGUUCCUUAGUAAGUGCAGUGCGAUUCCCCGCAUUAGGGGUUCGUCGCCUUCGUCGCCUUCGUCGCCUUCGACGCCUUCGACGCCUUCGACGCCUCCGUCGUCAUUCUUCGUCGUCGUCGUCUUCGUCGUCGUCGCCGUUGCUCUUAUUCUUCGAGGCACGGAUUAUACAUCAGGAUAAUCAACGAAUCGAAUCAUCUACGUGUACACGUGUCUACGCAUCCGACGUGCCCUGAACCAAAUGCCCGUCGGGUUCUCCGCGUCCUGGUGCCACCUUACAUCUCGGCAUCACAACAGGGGAGUACUUCAUACAGCAACAUCAAAGAUUAGCAGAUAAAAUACGGACUACCACGACCCUACAAAUUUCGUGUGCCUACCGCGAGCUGGUAUUUUAGAUUAAAUUAUUGAAUACAAAUUAUAUUUUUAUCUCA
Long non-coding RNA from Bicyclus anynana (squinting bush brown), 532 nucleotides. RefSeq lists it as uncharacterized. Lineage: Eukaryota; Metazoa; Arthropoda; Insecta; Lepidoptera; Nymphalidae. The transcript is spliced from 2 exons. The record is from RefSeq and is a predicted model, not a curated record.